This 253-nucleotide ribosomal RNA is filed under the name uncultured bacterium. Its description in RNAcentral is "partial 16S ribosomal RNA". It matches the Rfam family "Bacterial small subunit ribosomal RNA", at positions 524 to 776 of the family's 1533-position model. The record is from RNAcentral.
UACAGAGGUCUCAACCGUUGUUCGGAUUCAUUGGGCGUAAAGGGUGCGUAGGCGGUCGCGCAAGUCGGAUGUGAAAUCUCAGGGCUCAACCCUGAAACUGCAUUCGAUACUGCGUGGCUAGGGUGCUGGAGAGGAGACUGGAAUUUACGGUGUAGCAGUGAAAUGCGUAGAUAUCGUAAGGAAGACCAGUGGCGAAGGCGGCGUUCUGGACUGCUACUGACACUGAGGAACGAAAGCCAGGGGAGCAAACGGG